UCAUGAUCAUGAAUUAGUGAAAGGUCAUUUAAAUUUUAUAAUUAUUGGUUCUCCUUGGACUAUUCAAAUUUAGUGAUUAAACUAAUGGUUAGUUAUUUUGUGUGAUCAGGAAUGGUGGACGCUUAUGGGAACGAUAGCUUAUGGAACAGGAAAUGACUGCUGUGUGUGCAUUUGUGCUUGUGCUGAAGAGGCAUUUUUUGCUUUAUUAUUGACAACAGAAGAGGGGACAGUGAUGAGGUCAGUUACUGGCAGGGUUAAUGGGCCAGGUAACUGCCCUCUGGACUCCAAACACGUGGUUAUUGGUCAGACUCCUCUAAGGAUAUAAAUUGUGAAGACUUCAGUGUAGCUCUGUGUUCUGCACAACAACAACCACCUGGGAACUGCUGGAGGCUGUUCAGUUUUACAGAUAUAAUGAAGGGUACAUUCAGCGUGUCUGUCAGUCUGUUGCUGCUGUGUGUUUUGUGGGGUGACAGUCAGCCUGUACACACUGCUGCUCACACUGUCAGAGAGAUGAUAGAGCUCCUGAGAGCGAUGACUCCAGUCAAUGAGCAGGAGGAUCAGGACACAGAGCUGAUGGACUCUCCCGAGGUUCUGUGGCCUAAUACUGAGGAUCUGGAGAAAAGAGACCUGCCACGUCUAGGAGUAGCAAUACAUAGGGCUUUACCCUCAAGAGUCCACAGCAGUCAGAGCAUGCAUCUAGAUAUCGUUUGUCUUCUCCAGCUAAGUGGAUGUCCAGUCUCCAAGGUUGAAGAAUAGUAAUUGUUUGAUUCAUCUGUCUCAAAAAUGCUUGAAGGUUUACACACAACUCUCAUCCGCAUGAAGAACUCAUUGUUAGACAAUAAAUAAAAGGAGUUACAAAAUAUAUACA
Cyprinus carpio (common carp) is the source of this 868-nucleotide long non-coding RNA. The record is from Ensembl. NCBI's taxonomy places the organism in Eukaryota, Metazoa, Chordata, Actinopteri, Cypriniformes, Cyprinidae.